Molecule: ribosomal RNA, 327 nt
Filed under: Triticum aestivum (bread wheat)
Lineage: Eukaryota; Viridiplantae; Streptophyta; Magnoliopsida; Poales; Poaceae
Description: partial small subunit ribosomal RNA
Source: RNAcentral
AUGCCCGUCGUCAAAGUUCAGAUUACAGACAUUCCCGCAAACAAAAGGGUUCAGAUUACAGACCCUAGCACUUCGGAUCACCAUAAGCAAUGGCACUAUAGAAUGGCAUCCAAUCUGGGUGGUGUGUUAAUAACAAUAGAAUCAUUAGAAUUAGGUUCUAACUACCUCUCUUUGCCACAUGCCCCCGGGCCUGAUCAGAGUGGAUGCAAUCGGAUCCGGGGAAAUCAACUAUCAACUUUUAUCCCAUUCCAACCAUCGACGAGUACAGAGAUCACAACUCUUAUGCAUUUUGCUUAUGGCAAAUUAGUCGGUGUCCACAACGGAUGA